GACGAAGAACGCAGCGAAAUGCGAUAAGUAAUGUGAAUUGCAGAAUUCAGUGAAUCAUCGAAUCUUUGAACGCACCUUGCGCUCCUUGGUAUUCUGAGGAGCAUGCCUGUUUGAGUGUCAUUAAAUUCUCAACCUCACCCGUUUUCUGAACGGGUCGAGGCUUGGAUGUGGGGGUUUGUGCAGGCUGCCUCACUGGCGGUCUGCUCCCCUGAAAUGCAUUAGCGAGGUUCAUGCUGAACUUCCGUCUAUUGGUGUGAUAAUUAUCUACGCCGUGGACGAGGAUCAGACUCGCUUCUAACUGUCCGCGAGGACAAUACCUUGACAAUUUGACCUCAAAUCAGGUAGGACUACCCGCUGAACUUAAGCAUAUCAAUGAGCGGAGGA
This 384-nucleotide unclassified non-coding RNA is filed under the name soil metagenome. RNAcentral's name for it is "partial contains 5.8S ribosomal RNA, internal transcribed spacer 2, and large subunit ribosomal RNA". The stretch from base 1 to 120 matches the Rfam family "5.8S ribosomal RNA", at positions 35 to 154 of the family's 154-position model. The record is from RNAcentral.